GAUGAACGCUGGCGGCGUGCCUAACACAUGCAAGUCGAGCGAACGGACGAGAAGCUUUCUUCUCUGAUGUUAGCGGCGGACGGGUGAGUAACACGUGGAUAACCUACCUAUAAGACUGGGAUAAUUUCGGGAAACCGGAGCUAAUACCGGAUAAUAUUUUGAACUGAAUGGUUCAAAAGUGUAAGACGGUCUUGCUGUCACUUAUAGCUGGAUCCGCCCUGCAUGAGUUAGUUGGUAAGGUAACGGCUUACCAAGGCAACGAUGCAUAGCCGACCUGAGAGGGUGAUCGGCCACACGGGAACUGAGACACGGUCCAGACUCCUACGGGAGGCAGCGGUAGGGAAUCUUCCGCAAUGGGCGAGAGCCUGACGGAGCGACGCCGCGUGAGUGAUGAAGGUCUUCGGAUCGUAAAACUCUGUUAUUAGGAAAGAACAUAUGUGUAUGUAACUGUGCACAUCUUGACGGUACCUAAACAGAAAGCCACGGCUAACUACGUG
RNAcentral lists this ribosomal RNA (497 nucleotides) under uncultured bacterium. RNAcentral's name for it is "partial 16S ribosomal RNA". It matches the Rfam family "Bacterial small subunit ribosomal RNA", at positions 28 to 507 of the family's 1533-position model. The record is from RNAcentral.